GCGAGAGUGGCGGAACUGGCAGACGCGCAGGAUUUAGGAUCCUGUGGGAUAUCCCGUGGGGGUUCGAGUCCCCCUUCUCGCA
Molecule: transfer RNA, 82 nt
Filed under: SAR324 cluster bacterium
Lineage: Bacteria; Deltaproteobacteria
Also listed under: 1 other name
Description: tRNA-Leu
Rfam family: tRNA
About the family: Transfer RNA (tRNA) molecules are approximately 80 nucleotides in length. Their secondary structure includes four short double-helical elements and three loops (D, anti-codon, and T loops). Further hydrogen bonds mediate the characteristic L-shaped molecular structure. tRNAs have two regions of fundamental functional importance: the anti-codon, which is responsible for specific mRNA codon recognition, and the 3' end, to which the tRNAs corresponding amino acid is attached (by aminoacyl-tRNA synthetases). tRNAs cope with the degeneracy of the genetic code in two manners: having more than one tRNA (with a specific anti-codon) for a particular amino acid; and 'wobble' base-pairing, i.e. permitting non-standard base-pairing at the 3rd anti-codon position.
Source: RNAcentral